UGGCGGACGGGUGAGUAACGCGUGGGAACGUACCUUUUGGUUCGGAACAACACAGGGAAACUUGUGCUAAUACCGGAUAAGCCCUUACGGGGAAAGAUUUAUCGCCGAAAGAUCGGCCCGCGUCUGAUUAGCUAGUUGGUGAGGUAACGGCUCACCAAGGCGACGAUCAGUAGCUGGUCUGAGAGGAUGAUCAGCCACAUUGGGACUGAGACACGGCCCAAACUCCUACGGGAGGCAGCAGUGGGGAAUAUUGGACAAUGGGCGCAAGCCUGAUCCAGCCAUGCCGCGUGAGUGAUGAAGGCCCUAGGGUUGUAAAGCUCUUUUGUGCGGGAAGAUAAUGACGGUACCGCAAGAAUAAGCCCCGGCUAACUUCGUGCCAGCAGCCGCGGUAAU
This 393-nucleotide ribosomal RNA is filed under the name uncultured bacterium. Its description in RNAcentral is "bacterial SSU rRNA". It matches the Rfam family "Bacterial small subunit ribosomal RNA", at positions 96 to 524 of the family's 1533-position model. The record is from RNAcentral.